AGAAGUACUUGUACUUCGGCGUCGAGCGGCGGACGGGUGAGUAAUGCUUGGGAAUAUGCCAUAGGGUGGGGGACAACAGUUGGAAACGACUGCUAAUACCGCAUAACGUCUUCGGACCAAAGGAGGGGAUCUUCGGACCUUUCGCCUUUUGAUUAGCCCAAGUGAGAUUAGCUAGUUGGUGGGGUAAAGGCCUACCAAGGCGACGAUCUCUAGCUGGUUUGAGAGGAUGAUCAGCCACACUGGGACUGAGACACGGCCCAGACUCCUACGGGAGGCAGCAGUGGGGAAUAUUGCACAAUGGGGGAAACCCUGAUGCAGCCAUGCCGCGUGUGUGAAGAAGGCCUUCGGGUUGUAAAGCACUUUCAGUUGUGAGGAAAGGGAUGUAGUUAAUACCUGCAUUCUGUGACGUUAGCAACAGAAGAAGCACCGGCUAACUCCGUGCCAGCAGCCGCGGUAAUACGGAGGGUGCGAGCGUUAAUCGGAAUUACUGGGCGUAAAGCGUGCGUAGGCGGUUGAUUAAGCGAGAUGUGAAAUCCCGGGGCUUAACCUCGGAACUGCAUUUCGAACUGGUCGACUAGAGUUUUGUAGAGGGUGGUGGAAUUUCCAGUGUAGCGGUGAAAUGCGUAGAGAUUGGAAGGAACAUCAGUGGCGAAGGCGGCCACCUGGACAAAAACUGACGCUGAGGCACGAAAGCGUGGGUAGCAAACAGGAUUAGAUACCCUGGUAGUC
RNAcentral lists this ribosomal RNA (729 nucleotides) under uncultured bacterium. RNAcentral describes it as "bacterial SSU rRNA". It matches the Rfam family "Bacterial small subunit ribosomal RNA", at positions 72 to 795 of the family's 1533-position model. The record is from RNAcentral.